This is a long non-coding RNA of Leopardus geoffroyi (Geoffroy's cat), 2385 nucleotides long. RefSeq lists it as uncharacterized. Lineage: Eukaryota; Metazoa; Chordata; Mammalia; Carnivora; Felidae. The record is from RefSeq and is a predicted model, not a curated record. The transcript is spliced from 3 exons.
GUCCACUGCCCUGGCCACAGCGGCCACAGCAGCUGGCUCGGGGACGGUGUGCAGCUCAGAUCACUGGGGUUUUCAGUGUGGCCACAGAGGGAAAGGUGUCUGCCUCCGGUCUCAGGGUCAGGAGGAGCGGACGCCGGGUCCACACGUAGCCUCGUCCCCACUACGGUCCCAGUCAGGAAAUGAAACCAGGAAGACCCGAGCAGAGACGGGAGAGAGACCCUCCUCUGCUCAGGACCGGUGGCCCUGAGCCCCAUCCUCCCUGGACAUCCCAGCUGUGUGAGCAAGUGAGUCCCCUGUUCGUCCCAGCUGCCCUGAGCUGGGAUUUGCUCACUUGGGUGGUUUAUAACUCACACAGGGUUUGGAACCUGCCCUGGCCUGAGGCUUGCGCCCAGCACGAAAAUCGGGGGAGGUGAAGGCAGGGGCGUUGUGGAAUCAGCAGCCCUCCAUGGGGACCUUGCCUUCACUGCUGUGGGACUGGACCCCCUAGCUGCUCAGGCUUCAUCUGCAGGGUGGAACAUUCCAGAAUAUCAGGAGGGGCAUCAGCCCUGAUGGCUUUGGCAGGUAGGGGCUGAGACUCAGAGGCUGCCCUCCACAGGACUGCCCACAGGACUUGGCCAGGACCAAACUAGCAUAGAAUGUGCUAGACUUCCCCAGUUCUCCGUCUCUGGGAAGGAGGUAGGCAGGGCCGUCCUUAGCAUAGCGACGUCCGCUGAGGAACUGUCCUGGAAAUUUCUCUGUCUGCUCCGCUUGUUACGGGCUCAUCUACAGUCUCCUGCUUGGCCUCGUUGGCAGAUGGGUCUCCUGUUGCUGCGUGACAAAUCAAAUAUAUACAAAGAUUUACAAAGGCGAGGGCCUCGUGCCUCUCUCCACGAACAUCCACAGGACGUCCGCUGAUUCUCCUGCCCAGGGCUGGGAACGGCACGGCAGAAACGCUGCCUGAGCUCUGACCCCUGGCGCUCCCGGCAUCCACCCCGAUUUUCCAUCUGGUCUCCAUUAUCUCACUUCGGUGCCUUCACAGACUUUGCUGGAAACGAGAGCAGUCGGUGUUCCUCUGCCCGUCUUCAGUGCUGGCCGAGGCGUGCCUCCUGCCACAGGGAGGAGAGCCCCCGGGGGUCCGGUCCACACAGCCCUCGCUCGCCCCUGCCCUGAGCCACCCGGCCUCUGCUGCUCCCUGGAAAGGCUCUGGAAUUCCUGAUUCCACAUCAUCUGUGCGUGUCAGGCCCGGCACACUGUUGCAGCCAGCUGUCUCCAACCCCCCGGGGUCCCCUCCUGUCUGUGGCCGGGGCUCCCCUGACCCGUGGCUGCUGCUUCCUCGGGCUGCAGGCUCCAGAGGAAAGCAGACGAGCCGGGUCUGGACCUGCCGGGUGGUGAGAGCCAGCGGGACCCGGGGGGAGGCCGUCUGCAGGGGGGAAGUGAGGCGGCACGGGGCUCCCGCACCCCCUGCAUUAUGUGGUCUCUUCCGUGUGGGCUGGAGGCUCUGCCCUGAGGUCCACAGGCAGAGUUCAGCCGCCCAAGAAGGUGGAUGGGAACGACUGUGUCUCUAUUUUCACUAACUUCUAACUACAAGUCAGAUUUCCUUCCUCUGAAUGUGGGUAACACAGCACGGUGGCGGCAGUGCACCCGGGGGCCCCGUCGACAGCAGGAGCCUCGUCCCGGACACUGUUUAAGCUCAUCGCUAUGUAAAAUCACGGCGCCUGUUAGGCCCGCCACUGGGGCUUAUUGCCCGUGAAUAAAGAGGCAUCCAUACUGCGACAUCGCAAAUUUAUUCUUUAGACUCUAACCAUGCUUUUCAAUCAAGUGGAUUUUCUUUGUUCUCCUAAGUGUUCCCAGCGUUCUUCUGAGAGAGGUCCUGAAGCAGCCCCCACCCGUGCCCCCCUGUAUCCCCAGGCCUGGCCAUCCCGGCACCACCCCCUACCGUCACAGAGUCCCCCCCCCCCCGGCCCCGCACCCCGAAAGCCACUGCCUGCGAGGCCGGAGCACAGACAGCGUGGGAAUUACAACGUCGACCCUGAGAGCCCGCACCUCACCUCUUCGUGAUAAUCUCUGGAAAAGGGAUAUCAUGCGUGUAUUUUGAAUCACUUAUGACCCACCCCUGGUUACCCGGUACCGUGAGGAGAGUCGGGGCCACAUUCACACGUGCAUUUCCCACUGAGGUGCCACAGAGCAGGGACGCUUGGACUGUCACAAGGACAGAGACAGGUGGGCGGUGCACAGCACAAACACAUCCUGCACCCAUAAUGUGACAGCUGGUUUGGGGACGUUCAGGGAAGUGAAUAACCACACGUGGCCACUGCCGGCUGGUGUGCGGGCUGCAAAUACAGCCACCAGCGCCCUGGGGACCCAGCCGCUCUGGAGUCCUGGCUGAGGUGGGACAAACAUGUCUCC